AUUGAACGCUGGCGGCAGGCCUAACACAUGCAAGUCGAGCGAGAAAGUCUUCGGAUGAGUAGAGCGGCGGACGGGUGAGUAACGCGUAGGAAUUUGACGAGUAGUGGGGGAUAACGUUUCGAAAGGAACGCUAAUACCGCAUACGCCCUAAGGGGGAAAGCGGGGGAUCUUCGGACCUCGCGCUAUUGGAGGAGCCUGCGUAGGAUUAGCUAGUUGGUAGGGUAAAGGCCUACCAAGGCGACGAUCCUUAGCUGGUCUGAGAGGAUGAUCAGCCACACUGGGACUGAGACACGGCCCAGACUCCUACGGGAGGCAGCAGUGGGGAAUAUUGGACAAUGGGGGCAACCCUGAUCCAGCCAUGCCGCGUGUGUGAAGAAGGCC
RNAcentral lists this ribosomal RNA (381 nucleotides) under uncultured bacterium. Its description in RNAcentral is "bacterial SSU rRNA". It matches the Rfam family "Bacterial small subunit ribosomal RNA", at positions 29 to 416 of the family's 1533-position model. The record is from RNAcentral.